This 764-nucleotide ribosomal RNA is filed under the name uncultured bacterium. Its description in RNAcentral is "bacterial SSU rRNA". It matches the Rfam family "Bacterial small subunit ribosomal RNA", at positions 59 to 796 of the family's 1533-position model. The record is from RNAcentral.
CAGUCGACGCUUCUUUUUCCCCGGAGCUUGCUCCAUCGGAAAAAGAGGAGUGGCGAACGGGUGAGUAACACGUGGGUAACCUGCCCAUCAGAAGGGGAUAACACUUGGAAACAGGUGCUAAUACCGUAUAACAAUCGAAACCGCAUGGUUUUGAUUUGAAAGGCGCUUUCGGGUGUCGCUGAUGGAUGGACCCGCGGUGCAUUAGCUAGUUGGUGAGGUAACGGCUCACCAAGGCGACGAUGCAUAGCCGACCUGAGAGGGUGAUCGGCCACAUUGGGACUGAGACACGGCCCAAACUCCUACGGGAGGCAGCAGUAGGGAAUCUUCGGCAAUAGACGAAAGUCUGACCGAGCAACGCCGCGUGAGUGAAGAAGGUUUUCGGAUCGUAAAACUCUGUUGUUAGAGAAGAACAAGGAUGAGAGUAACUGUUCAUCCCUUGACGGUAUCUAACCAGAAAGCCACGGCUAACUACGUGCCAGCAGCCGCGGUAAUACGUAGGUGGCAAGCGUUGUCCGGAUUUAUUGGGCGUAAAGCGAGCGCAGGCGGUUUCUUAAGUCUGAUGUGAAAGCCCCCGGCUCAACCGGGGAGGGUCAUUGGAAACUGGGAGACUUGAGUGCAGAAGAGGAGAGUGGAAUUCCAUGUGUAGCGGUGAAAUGCGUAGAUAUAUGGAGGAACACCAGUGGCGAAGGCGGCUCUCUGGUCUGUAACUGACGCUGAGGCUCGAAAGCGUGGGGAGCAAACAGGAUUAGAUACCCUGGUAGUCC